AUCUUCUUUUCCAACAACUUUAAUUUAUUGGAAGAAAUGUAUUAUGGUAACGAAGACCCGAAGGAACAUGUUGAGCAAUAUAAUGAUUUUACGGAGAUUCUAGGUGUCUCGAAUGCAUUGCAGUGUAGAGUCUUCCCAAUCAACUUAAAAAUUCAUGCUAGUACUCCUCACUUCCUACAAGAUCCAUUUACAAUUUUAGCUAGCUAAAAGACCUUUUUGCAAGACACUUCCUACCUAACAAAGAUGUAGGGAAGACCAAAACUAGCUUGCUAGGGAUCAAGCAAGAAAAGAGAGAAUCUAUCAGGGCCUUUACUCGGUGAUUCAGCACAACAACGGUGGGGUGUCGAUGUCUGACAGGCAAUUGGGAUACACAAGCUUACAUUACAGGCUUGUGACACAACUACCUCAAAUAUAUCUUACCAACGAAAAGCCAAAGUCACUUAGCAUGAGUACGAUAAGACGAACAGGUUUGCAAAACCAGAGGAUGUUGAACAAGCUCACAAAACCUAUUUUCUCUCACAAACAAAAGCUUCGACGACAACUGAAGGGGUUAGCAAGGAGGUAAAGACUAAAAUAGGCGAACCCUUGCACUCGACGUAAACAAAGGGGUUGUUUUCUCCUUUGUCUCGGCAGCGCAGAGUAGAAAGGCAUUUGCCAAACGAGCCCAGAAGAUAAUUGCAUUUUGACGGUAACCAAGACCAGCAAACUAGAGCCCCUUCAUAAACUCCGCUAAACUCUUCUACAGCAUAAAUCUUGCAAGGUAGAAAAGGAAGGUAUUCUAGAGCCUCCUCUUCCAAUGAGGCCAAUGUUCUCACUGGUGCAAAUUUCAUGGGGAGGUAGAGCACAAAAUAGAUGAUUUUGUAUGCCUGAGAUGCAAUGAAGGAAGCAGUUCAACGUGGUCAUUUGAACCACUUUAUAAGGCAAAAAUUAAAGCUGUGGGGUACCUCACGAGAUAAAGAUGAUAAGGCAGAAAGGAAAAAGCUAGCUAGAGGAAUAAUUCGCAUGAUAACAAGGGUUACUGAUUGGAUGGCAGCCGGUUCUAAAAUGAAAACUUCUUCACACAGCGUCAUGUUAAUGAGCGCAACAAUCAAAAGGUCUUGGCAAACUGAGAACUAGAAGGUAAAUUUUGACAACUGCGAUUUGGUUACGGUACUAGAUGAGGUGGGUAAUGAACCUUUGGUGGUAACUGUGAUUGAAUUGAAGGCGGAUUUUUUUUUUCUCUGGAUCAAGACGGAUUGAGCAAGUCUCGGGUCGGGGUCAGAUCGAGCAAAAAUUCACCCCGUCCGGUCUCCAUCUCUAUUCAUCUUGAGUCCAUCUACCCAUUCGGCUCUCUGUCCUAGAAUGGGUGAAUCGAGCUUCCUCGACACAACUCGCUCUUAUUCUUUUUCACUUUCGUUGAUACCAUGCAACAGCAAUGGUGCGGUGAACUUGGAUAGAUUAUAUAAAAAUAAAACUCUCAGAUUAGAUCACCGUUGAUUUGCCAACUUAAGAUGAGGUGAACGGCUCUUGUAAAUAUUCUGGAAAAUCGGUUCUUCAGAAGGGACAAUGGGUGUAGUACCGCUGGCUCUCCCUAAUCUUUGCCCAUCCAACAAGUUUUUCGCUCAAAACCCAAGGCAGAUUCAAUAGCUUGCUCUAUCACCCCCUACUUCUUCUCUUCCUAUGCAAAAUUUUACUCCAACAGACUGGUGAUUAAUAUCUGCACGAAAAGUGUUCGACAAAAUGCGUGAGAGGAACCCGGUUACAUGGGCUUGCUUGAUCUUGGGGUACAACCAAAAUGGAAUGCCUAAUAAUGCGCGUGAGGUUUGUGAAGAGAUAAUUUCUAUGGGUGUAUAGCCUCUCGUGAUGCCUUCGACAGUGUUCUUCGAGCUCGGAUCAUGUGGUCUUCGUUAUGGUUUGCAAAUUCACAGGUAAUAACAUGACAAACACGUGGGGAUUUGUUCUUAUAUAUGUAAUAGUACCAGCUAUUUAUUAUUACUGUUCAAGAUCUUGUAUCUGUUGUUUAGUUAGUUUAACUAGCCUUUGGAUCAAAUGAAGAAAUUUAAUCGUUGAAUUAUUUGUAUCUGAUUAUUAUGCUCUCUCUGAUCAGUAGAACGCUUAGCAAGUUCAUGGGAUCUUUCCAUUUUUUCAUAAA
Long non-coding RNA from Gossypium arboreum, 2131 nucleotides. RefSeq lists it as uncharacterized. NCBI's taxonomy places the organism in Eukaryota, Viridiplantae, Streptophyta, Magnoliopsida, Malvales, Malvaceae. The record is from RefSeq and is a predicted model, not a curated record. The transcript has 2 exons.